This 367-nucleotide ribosomal RNA is filed under the name uncultured bacterium. RNAcentral describes it as "bacterial SSU rRNA". It matches the Rfam family "Bacterial small subunit ribosomal RNA", at positions 355 to 734 of the family's 1533-position model. The record is from RNAcentral.
UGGGGAAUAUUGCACAAUGGGCGGAAGCCUGAUGCAGCGACGCCGCGUGAGGGAUGACGGCCUUCGGGUUGUAAACCUCUUUCAGUAGGGAAGAAGCGCAAGUGACGGUACCUGCAGAAGAAGCGCCGGCUAACUACGUGCCAGCAGCCGCGGUAAUACGUAGGGCGCAAGCGUUGUCCGGAAUUAUUGGGCGUAAAGAGCUCGUAGGCGGUUUGUCGCGUCUGCUGUGAAAGCCCGGGGCUCAACCCCGGGUCUGCAGUGGGUACGGGCAGACUAGAGUGCAGUAGGGGAGACUGGAAUUCCUGGUGUAGCGGUGAAAUGCGCAGAUAUCAGGAGGAACACCGAUGGCGAAGGCAGGUCUCUGGGC